Molecule: long non-coding RNA, 322 nt
Filed under: Prunus persica (peach)
Lineage: Eukaryota; Viridiplantae; Streptophyta; Magnoliopsida; Rosales; Rosaceae
Description: long non-coding RNA (PPER_LNC006370)
Source: RNAcentral
UGAGGUAUAGGUAUCUAGUCCGAAUUCAUUGGAACAACACAAACACGAAGACAAGAAUUCAAACAAUAUUGACCGAUUGUUUUUCGGUCUAGUCGACCUCAAUUUGUCAUGAUGCUGUUAGAAAUUUCAAACACAAAACGAACAAUAAAUUAAUAACCAAGGUGAUGUCUUUUCAUUACAUUAUAUCCGAAGACAAAAAUAUUGGUCCUACUCUCUCAUAGCCAUACACGAUACACCCACCAAAAGAAAACAACAAGCAGCAAAUACUUUUCUCUAUGUACCUUUACAAACUACAUUUUUCUCUCUGGCAAUUGGCUGUCAG